This is a non-coding RNA of Punica granatum (pomegranate), 1166 nucleotides long. Lineage: Eukaryota; Viridiplantae; Streptophyta; Magnoliopsida; Myrtales; Lythraceae. The record is from RefSeq and is a predicted model, not a curated record.
UGAUAAAGGGGAAAGCAGUCGCAUACUUUCUCUCUCCUCAUCUCAUCAGCGCUCGUCUCGUAUCUCUCUCUCCCCUUCUUCCUGUCUUCUCCAGCGUCCGAUCCAACCAAUCGAUCUGCAGCCAGCAGUCCCAUUCCCCGCCUUUUGUUUAUUAAUCCUCUCUCCCCCUCCUUCGCGCGCUAAUCCCUUCUUCAGGGUUUGGAUUUUGGGACACCGGGGAUGGCCGAGGUCCCGGGAAGCCCAGGCGGAGGGAGCCACGAGAGCGGCGAGCACAGCCCUCGCUCCAACGUCCGGGAGCAGGACAGGUACCUCCCCAUCGCCAACAUCAGCCGUAUCAUGAAGAAGGCCCUCCCCGCCAACGGCAAGAUCGCCAAGGACGCCAAGGAGACCGUCCAGGAGUGUGUCUCGGAGUUCAUCAGCUUCAUCACCAGCGAGGCAAGCGAUAAGUGCCAGAGAGAGAAGAGGAAGACGAUCAACGGGGAUGACUUGCUGUGGGCUAUGGCAACCUUAGGCUUUGAGGAUUAUAUCGAACCGCUCAGGAUGUAUCUCGCCAGAUACAGAGAGAUGGAGGGGGACACGAAGGGGUCAGCUAAGAGCGGUGAUGGCUCUGUUAAGAAAGAUGGUAGCGGGGUUCAUCCUGGUCCGAAUGCUCAGUAUGCUGGACGGAGUCUUUACCAUACUGAUGAUUCCUACAUGAAUUAAUGCAGCAGCUUGUUCAUCAGGGUUCCUUCUCUCAGGGAAUCAGUUAUCCAAACUCACAAGGUCAGCAUCUCAUCGUUCUGACUCAUGGAAGAGAGUAGAGGUAGGGCUUCUUCUUUCUUUCAGUUGCAGAACCAACCAGGAGAGACACCGUCUCUGAUGAUGAUGAAGAAGAAGAAGAAGAACAAACAUUGUCCAAUGUGAUGACUGACAAUUUAGGUUUUUCUUUUUCUUGGUUUGGUUUUAUAAUUUGUCUCCAGAGUCAUUUUAUCAUGGCGUGUGUAUAUGUCGGGGCGCUGCCAGGAAAAUAAUCACUCUCUCCACAACGGGAAAAUUCGGUACAUCCUGCGGGAGAAAAAAAAAAAAAACUGCCAUGCUUUGUAUUUGCUAGUCCUUUGGUUGCUUCACAAUGACCCGUCGUUACCUUCCUAAACAUAAGAUUAUUAAUCCUAUUAUAAUUUAUGUGA